GGGGAACAAGAGUCCUGUUUUCCUCUGCGCUUUGUUACCUAACAAGACAGAGUCGUGCCAUUUGGAUUUAGAGUUUGAGGAGGCAGAAGAUGUGGUUUUUUCUGUUCUUGGUCCUAGAACUGUUUAUUUGACUGGUUACUAUGUGGGAAAUAGUCGGCGAGCAAAUGUAAACAGUGAUACAGAGUCAUAUGGAGAGGAUAUUGCAGACACGGAAACAGGGGAAUCCUGCCAUGACAGUGAUGAUGACAAGU
This 251-nucleotide unclassified non-coding RNA is filed under the name Hevea brasiliensis (rubber tree). Lineage: Eukaryota; Viridiplantae; Streptophyta; Magnoliopsida; Malpighiales; Euphorbiaceae. The record is from RNAcentral.